GUCAUUUUGCACGUGUACGUGCCUGAAAAAUUGUUUACGAGAAAUUGGAAGGCAUCCAUGCUGGGAUCCGAGUGACAUGCAAAAACAGAGAUCUUUUUAUGGAGGUCAGAUGUCUGAUGGGUGAACAAGUGGACCAAGCUUCAAGCAGAUCUCUUUCAAGAUGUUUGUUUUCCUUUGCAAUCCAGCUGUUAAUUGAACCAGGUAGACAAAGUCUUAAAUAAGCCAAGUUUUGUUUUAAUUCCAAGGUAGCAAAUGGGUGAUGCUGCUGACUUAGUUCAUGUAGCAUUAGUGCAUGUGGGACAUAAACUUGAAAUUCACCCCAGACAUGUAGUGUAUCAAUGUACUGUGGAUAAAGGUUGAUUUCUGUGUCACUUUUCAUUGUCUGUUGUCACAGUUGACUGUCUGACUUGCAAUUUUUUAAAAGGACAAGUUGCCAAGUACAUAAAUUAGCAUGUAUCUGGGAAAGAAGAUUGAUACAAGAAAAUAUGAAGGUGUGUGGGGAAUUGUUAAAUUCCAGAAAUUCCAAAGUGAAGUCUUAGCAAAACACCAUUGUUUUUAUCACCUCUGGAUGAGCCUGGAGGCUGAUGCUGGGUAGCAAUUCUAGUAAAGGAAGCUGCCCACAAUUGAGGCAUCUUCAUCAAAAAACACAGAAUCUGGCCAAUCUUAAGACAGAUAGGCAGAAUGAUUGACUUGUACCUGUCUGGUUGACUGUCUGUCAACUGAUUGUGACUGACUGAUUAUUGGAUGGUCAACUACAGUACCUACUUGUAAUUAAGAGACUGACAUAACUGACUUCCUGUCUAUUUGGCUGACUGAUAAACUAUCAGACUGGCUAGCUGACUAACUGAUUGAUCUACCAACUGAUUGAUUGGCUGACUAACAGACUGACUGACUCACCAAUUGAUUGACCAACUGGCUCAGUGGUUGACUGUCUCAAUGACUGGCUGCAUGAUAAUGCAACAGACUAACUGUUAAUCUGAGACUGAUUGAUAGGCUGACUGACAGAUAGACAGACUGACUGACUGGCUGGCUGCCUGCUUGAAUGACUGACUGUCAGGCUUAAGACUGUCUGGCAGACUGGCUAACAGAAAGUAACAGGGAUUGACCGACUGACUAACAGACUGACAAUUGACUGGGUGAUUGACUGGUACACAAAAUGACUGAUUGACUGAUGGACAGUCAUGAAGGCUGACAGGCAAUCAUUUACUACAAUUUCUGCCCAUUCACCCACAUGGCAGAUUACCCACAUUGAUCAAUUUUUGGAAUAAUGAGAAAAAAAUUUCAACAGAUCACCAGCACUGGCAGAUAACCUGCACUAAAAA
Molecule: long non-coding RNA, 1322 nt
Organism: Pocillopora damicornis (cauliflower coral)
Lineage: Eukaryota; Metazoa; Cnidaria; Anthozoa; Scleractinia; Pocilloporidae
Source: RefSeq, a predicted model, not a curated record